UCUAGAGUGAGAAAGGUACCAAAGCUGCGAAUUUAAUUCAUUCUGCAGAGCAGUUGCUAAAAAUGGUCCAGUUGCUUGUGAAUCGUGCCCUGUGAUACCGUGAUAUGGCUUUCAGUCCCGAACUCUAUUAGCUCCUGCAUGCAAGUCAUAUUUCAAUAAUUACUAGCUUUAGGACAUUCAUCUAACAAUUGCGCAAAGCAGAUAAGGUUUACCGUUUAUUAAACACGGUGGCCUAAAUCACAAUAGUCACCCAAGUCUAAGUCGUAGGCUAAGUCUUACUUGUUGUUUAGCCUACUCGCAAUUUUGCCUGUUAUAAGGCUAAUGUUGCAGUUUUCCUGAUCAAAUUUAUCAGUGACUCUGGACUCCGGAUUGUUUGUUUUAACACAUGGCCUAAUAUAGUCUUAGGCUACCAUAUCAAAAGGAUCGGAUAAAACCACAUAGAUAGCUUGUAACCCAAGACCACUUUCACUGCACACAAGACCACCAUCACUGCCACAUUAAGACAAAGUUGUACCCCCCCACCACCACCACAUAUACACACACACACACACACACACGCCAACAACACUGUCAUUACAGAGUCAUAAGUAUUAAUCAACCACAUAUUAUUUAUGAUUAUUCAUUAUUCAACAACCCCCCCCCCCCCCUCUCUCUCCCAAACUUUUGAUGUGACCUCUUGUCCUUGAUGAUGAUUAACUAAAUUAUCUCUUGUAUACUCUGUCCUGAUGCAGCUGUUCAGUUGCAGUAUCUUCCACUACACAAUGACAUAGGUGCAUCUUCAACAUUUCAUUGAAAUAGUUCAGCAUCUAUUUUCAGCAACAGCAGGUGCCCCUUUAUUUUGUUUCCUCUGCAAACAUAGGGCUGAACAUCUUGCACUGGGCACUAAUUGUCAUUGUCACUGUUAGUUAUAUAUGACCGUUUAUAGCUUAGUCACAUUUAACUGAGGCUCAUUGUCACUGCAUGUUGACACCUACAUGUUUAAAUACACAGAGAUAUACAAUAAUCACAGGAAGAAGAUCUGUAUUUAUGCUGUGUUCGCUUUUUUGCACUAUAUCAAACAGAGGAGACAGAAUGCUUUUCUAUGUGUCCUUCCCUAAGCCUGCUGGAGUUCUGUAGCCUUGUGAUGUUUAACAUGGCGUCUAGUGCGAUUUAUUUUAACCUGGGCCAUAUGCAGAGCAAAUAUAUCUGUGUAUUGUAGUGCCAGUUUCUGAUUUUUAUGGCAGAAGUGUGUUCAGCACAGUCCAGUCAGCAGGAGUUGUUUGAUUUCAUUUGAUAGUUGCCUACAAACCUGAAUAGGCAAAGGAAUGCAGAUAUGUGAUCUAGGCUACAGUAUUGGAGAAGCCCUUA
Long non-coding RNA from Alosa sapidissima (American shad), 1347 nucleotides. RefSeq lists it as uncharacterized. NCBI's taxonomy places the organism in Eukaryota, Metazoa, Chordata, Actinopteri, Clupeiformes, Clupeidae. The transcript has 2 exons. The record is from RefSeq and is a predicted model, not a curated record.